RNAcentral lists this ribosomal RNA (253 nucleotides) under uncultured bacterium. RNAcentral describes it as "partial 16S ribosomal RNA". It matches the Rfam family "Bacterial small subunit ribosomal RNA", at positions 524 to 776 of the family's 1533-position model. The record is from RNAcentral.
UACGUAGGGUGCGAGCGUUGUCCGGAAUUAUUGGGCGUAAAGAGCUCGUAGGCGGUCUGUCGCGUCUGCUGUGAAAUCCCGAGGCUCAACCUCGGGCUUGCAGUGGGUACGGGCAGGCUAGAGUACUGCAGGGGAGACUGGAAUUCCUGGUGUAGCGGUGGAAUGCGCAGGUAUCAGGAGGAACACCGGUGGCGAAGGCGGGUCUCUGGGCAGUAACUGACGCUGAGGAGCGAAAGCGUGGGGAGCGAACAGG